This 386-nucleotide ribosomal RNA is filed under the name uncultured bacterium. Its description in RNAcentral is "bacterial SSU rRNA". It matches the Rfam family "Bacterial small subunit ribosomal RNA", at positions 29 to 416 of the family's 1533-position model. The record is from RNAcentral.
AACGAACGCUGGCGGCAUGCCUUACACAUGCAAGUCGAACGGCAGCACGGGAGCAAUCCUGGUGGCGAGUGGCGAACGGGUGAGUAAUAUAUCGGAACGUGCCCAGUCGUGGGGAUAACGUAGCGAAAGCUACGCUAAUACCGCAUACGAUCUAUGGAUGAAAGCGGGGGAUCGCAAGACCUCGCGCGAUUGGAGCGGCCGAUAUCAGAUUAGGUAGUUGGUGAGGUAAAGGCUCACCAAGCCGACGAUCUGUAGCUGGUCUGAGAGGACGACCAGCCACACUGGGACUGAGACACGGCCCAGACUCCUACGGGAGGCAGCAGUGGGGAAUUUUGGGACAAUGGGCGCAAGCCUGAUCCAGCAAUGCCGCGUGCAGGAUGAAGGCC